RNAcentral lists this ribosomal RNA (406 nucleotides) under uncultured bacterium. RNAcentral describes it as "partial 16S ribosomal RNA". It matches the Rfam family "Bacterial small subunit ribosomal RNA", at positions 30 to 526 of the family's 1533-position model. The record is from RNAcentral.
AUUGAACGCUGGCGGCAGGCCUAACACAUGCAAGUCGAACGAGUGGCGGACGGGUGAGUAAUGUCUGGGAAACUGCCCGAUGGAGGGGGAUAACUACUGGAAACGGUAGCUAAUACCGCAUACCAUCGGAUGUGCCCAGAUGGGAUUAGCUUGUAGGUGAGGUAACGGCUCACCUAGGCGACGAUCCCUAGCUGGUCUGAGAGGUUGACCAGCCAGGCUGGAGCUGAGAACCGGUCCAGUCGCCUACGGGAGGCAGCAGUGGGGAAUAUGGCACAAUGGGCGCGAGCCUGAUGCAGCCAGGCCGCGUGUAUGAAGAAGGACUUCGGGUUGUAAAGUACUUUCAUCGGGGUGGCGUUACCCGCAGAAGAAGCAACGGCUAACUACGUGCCAGCAGCCGCGGUAAUAC